Molecule: non-coding RNA, 30 nt
Filed under: Mus musculus (house mouse)
Lineage: Eukaryota; Metazoa; Chordata; Mammalia; Rodentia; Muridae
Source: RNAcentral
UAGCAAGAUGUACACCUGACUAAACAGUGC